This is a long non-coding RNA of Haplochromis burtoni (Burton's mouthbrooder), 756 nucleotides long. RefSeq lists it as uncharacterized. NCBI's taxonomy places the organism in Eukaryota, Metazoa, Chordata, Actinopteri, Cichliformes, Cichlidae. The transcript has 4 exons. The record is from RefSeq and is a predicted model, not a curated record.
AAACUCCACCCAGUAUGACAACGGUACGACUACCACAGUCAGCUCUCUGUUUGGUGUACCUACGAGAGAGAUUAAUGGUCACCAGGUCCAGUGUGUCAUCAGCGGUGACUCCCUGUCUAAAGAAAAAAGUCUGCCCUUCACCAUACAGGUCUACUUCUCACCCACAGAAGUGAACAUUAGAGUGAUUUCAGAGGACUCGUUUGAGUGUGUGACAGAAGCCAACCCAAAUGCAAUAUUUAACUGGAGCAGUCUUGUUCGUGUUUUUUCCAGAUCUGGACAGUCUUUGUCACAGCCUGGUGUCAAAGUAGAUGGUGCAAAGCUACAACUGCUGAGUCUGACCUCUGAUCUAAAUGGCCUCUAUCAGUGUGAAGCAUCUAACGCAUAUGGACGUAAACAUGGUCAGCUCUAUGUGCGUGUUGCAGCAGGAGCAUGUUCUGCUGCUUGGGCCUUAUUUGGUAUUUUGCUUACUCUGAAUGUGAUUGGGGUUGCAGCAUGGUGCUUCUUUAAAUCUGGAUGUUUUCAAAGGUACUCGGAACAGCAACACUUCAUACACUUAAUAUGUAGUUCUCCUGAUAUUAAACCAUAGACACAUAAUGUUCAAAUAGGUCUAAAGGUUUUUGAUCAUUUGAAAUAAACAAUCAAAUGCAAUAGAGAGAAAGACUGUCAGCUUUAAUUGUAAGUAACAGUAUGUGUGAAAUGUUAUACAUAUAUACAGGGUGGGCCAUUUAUAUGGAUACACUGUAAUAAAAUGGGAAU